AACGAACGCUGGCGGCAGGCCUAACACAUGCAAGUCGAGCGAGGACUUCGGUCCUAGCGGCGGACGGGUGAGUAACGCGUGGGAACGUGCCCUUUGCUUCGGAAUAGCCCUGGGAAACUGGGAGUAAUACCGGUUGAGCCCUUUGGGGGAAAGAUUUAUCGGCGAAGGAUCGGCCCGCGUUGGAUUAGGUAGUUGGUGGGGUAAUGGCCUACCAAGCCGACGAUCCAUAGCUGGUUUGAGAGGAUGAUCAGCCACACUGGGACUGAGACACGGCCCAGACUCCUACGGGAGGCAGCAGUGGGGAAUCUUAGACAAUGGGGGAAACCCUGAUCUAGCCAUGCCGCGUGAGCGAUGAAGGCCUUAGGGUUGUAAAGCUCUUUCAGCUGGGAAGAUAAUGACGGUACCAGCAGAAGAAGCCCCGGCUAACUCCGUG
RNAcentral lists this ribosomal RNA (433 nucleotides) under uncultured bacterium. Its description in RNAcentral is "partial 16S ribosomal RNA". It matches the Rfam family "Bacterial small subunit ribosomal RNA", at positions 29 to 507 of the family's 1533-position model. The record is from RNAcentral.